This 330-nucleotide ribosomal RNA is filed under the name uncultured eukaryote. Its description in RNAcentral is "SSU rRNA". It matches the Rfam family "Eukaryotic small subunit ribosomal RNA", at positions 594 to 945 of the family's 1831-position model. The record is from RNAcentral.
AUAGCGUAUAUUAAAGUUGUUGCAGUUAAAAAGCUCGUAGUCGAAUUUCGGGAUUGUCUGCAUGGUCUUGCUUUGCAAGUACUAUGUGGGUUUUCCUUUUUUCCUGGUAGAUUACACUUUGUGUAAAAAGUCAGGACUUUUACUUUGAAUAAAUUAGAGUGUUCAAAGCAGGCUUUUGCUUGAAUACAUUAGCAUGGAAUAAUAAAAUAGGACUUUGGUUUUAUUUUGUUGGUUUUAAGAACCAAAGUAAUGAUUAAUAGGGACAGUUGGGGGCAUUAGUAUUUAGAAGUCAGAGGUGAAAUUCUUGGAUUUAUUGAAGACUAACUACUG